This 216-nucleotide ribosomal RNA is filed under the name Glomeromycotina sp. Its description in RNAcentral is "partial small subunit ribosomal RNA". The stretch from base 75 to 216 matches the Rfam family "Eukaryotic small subunit ribosomal RNA", at positions 721 to 864 of the family's 1831-position model. Lineage: Eukaryota; Fungi; Glomeromycota. The record is from RNAcentral.
GGGUCAGUAGGUUGGUCGUGCCACCGGUACGUACUGGUCUCACUGACUCCUCCUUCCUGAAGAACCGUAAUGCCAUUAAUUUGGUGUUGCGGGGAAACAGGGCUGUUACUUUGAAAAAAUUAGAGUGUUUAAAGCAAGCUAACGCUUGAAUACAUUAGCAUGGAAUAAUGAAAUAGGACGAUCGAUCCUAUUUUGUUGGUUUCUAGGAUUGACGUA